This is a long non-coding RNA of Oncorhynchus tshawytscha (Chinook salmon), 1064 nucleotides long. RefSeq lists it as uncharacterized. The transcript is spliced from 2 exons. NCBI's taxonomy places the organism in Eukaryota, Metazoa, Chordata, Actinopteri, Salmoniformes, Salmonidae. The record is from RefSeq and is a predicted model, not a curated record.
GCAAACUGACCAGGGAUCUGUGCUAAGGGACAUUUGUAACUUGGAUGUCACAUGACCCAAUAUUUUGAUAUAAGCAAAUGAACUGAGCAAAUGUGGGUGUGGUGUCAGGCAGUAUUCUCACCGGAUGUCCAUAACUGCACAUCCCAAAAACAAAAUGUUCUCUCGCUUUGUCAAGCAUUAACCACUUAACUGGCUCCGCACUGGAUGCAUUCUCAUUUUAGAAGGCACUCCAAUCCAAGAGAAGAACCUUCCCCCAAAGACAACACAGUCCCAGUCCCAGGGCCUUUACGGAUGUCAAAUUCUGAGUUUGUUAAGGAAAUGCUAUACUGGCUGCCGAGUGAAACAAUAACUGCAUCCCUGCCUCAAGCAAACUCCUUUAAAAAUGUUCUCGCUUAUGGGUUGUGUCAUGUUUCUACUUGACACUUCUUAUUUUGCACUAAUCAUCAGAUAGACUUCUAUGCAACAUGUGAAUAGAAAUUAUUUGUGGCUGAAGCGUUAGAUUCAUUUGAAUACAUGUAGUUGUGUUGGUUCUGUAUGUCUGAAACUAGGCAGAGGGGAUUAAAGAGAGGUUCAGUUUGUUUUAUUGGCUUCUCAAUUAGGAGUGUGCUUGUCCACUGUGUGAUAGCUACCAGCUAUAUUUAGAGAACGUAUCUAUAUUGCAGGCAGACCCUGAACAGUGUUCACAUUCUCAGCUGCCGGAGCACCUUGAGGUCACUAAUAACACGUUGAUGAAAACGGAUGUAGUAUUCUGUCCUUCAUAAAAGUCCUACUGAACCCUCUUAUACAUAGAGAGAAGGCCACGCGAGGAGAGACAUGAACUUAUACUUGGGCUCAAACUAUGUUUCAAAGGGGUAGGAGAAGGUUUGAGCUAUUCCUGCCGCUAAGCAGCCAUUUAUGAAGUUCUGUAGUGGAGUGAACUGGAAUUGGGGCUCCCGCCACAGCUUAUCCAAGUUGACGUAGACUGCAUAGCAACCAAUGGAGAAGGGAAACGCACCUGUAGAAGAAUAGAUCCACAGUUGCUAGCCAUGCCCCAUAGAACAACCUAAAUAAACUCUUGAAAUAAA